CUUCCGUAGGGGGAACCUGCGGAAGGAUCAUUACUGAUUUGCUUAAUUGCACCACAUGUGUUUUUCUUUGAAACAAACUUGCUUUGGCGGUGGGCCCAGCCUGCCGCCAGAGGUCUAAACUUACAACCAAUUUUUUAUCAACUUGUCACACCAGAUUAUUACUUAAUAGUCAAAACUUUCAACAACGGAUCUCUUGGUUCUCGCAUCGAUGAAGAACGCAGCGAAAUGCGAUACGUAAUAUGAAUUGCAGAUAUUCGUGAAUCAUCGAAUCUUUGAACGCACAUUGCGCCCUCUGGUAUUCCGGAGGGCAUGCCUGUUUGAGCGUCGUUUCUCCCUCAAACCGCUGGGUUUGGUGUUGAGCAAUACGACUUGGGUUUGCUUGAAAGACGGUAGUGGUAAGGCGGGAUCGCUUUGACAAUGGCUUAGGUCUAACCAAAAACAUUGCUUGCGGCGGUAACGUCCACCACGUAUAUCUUCAAACUUUGACCUCAAAUCAGGUAGGACUACCCGCUGAACUUAAGCAUAUCAAUAAGCGGAGGAA
This 541-nucleotide ribosomal RNA is filed under the name Candida albicans. Its description in RNAcentral is "eukaryotic LSU rRNA". The stretch from base 174 to 327 matches the Rfam family "5.8S ribosomal RNA". The record is from RNAcentral. Lineage: Eukaryota; Fungi; Ascomycota; Pichiomycetes; Serinales; Debaryomycetaceae.